CUAAGAAUCUUGCGCAAUGGGCGAAAGCCUGACGCAGCAAUUCCGCGUGGGGGACGAAGGCCCUCGGGUCGUAAACCCCUUUUGUGAGGGAAGAAGUUCUGACGGUACCUCACGAAUAAGACACGGCUAACUACGUGCCAGCAGCCGCGGUAAUACGUAGGUGUCGAGCGUUGUCCGGAUUUAUUGGGCGUAAAGAGCCCGCAGGCGGCUUGGUAAGUUCGAGGUGAAAUCUCCCGGCUCAACUGGGAGGGUGCCUCGAAAACCAUCAGGCUUGAGGCAGGGAGAGGGAUGUGGAAUUCCCGGUGUAGUGGUGAAAUGCGUAGAUAUCGGGAGGAACACCAGUGGCGAAGGCGGCAUCCUGGCCCUGUCCUGACGCUCAGGGGCGAAAGCGUGGGGAGCAAACC
RNAcentral lists this ribosomal RNA (404 nucleotides) under uncultured bacterium. Its description in RNAcentral is "bacterial SSU rRNA". It matches the Rfam family "Bacterial small subunit ribosomal RNA", at positions 355 to 774 of the family's 1533-position model. The record is from RNAcentral.